AUGAUCUCCCAGGCUCAGCUCAACUGGCUACUAGUGCUCUGGAUCCAGGACUCUAGCGGGGACAUUGUGGUGACUCAGACUCCAGAAUCCCUGGCAGUGUCUCCAGGAGAGAAAGUCACCAUCAACUGCAAAGCCAGUUCAAGCCUUACUUACGAAGGCAAGGAAUACUUAGCCUGGUACCAGCAGAAAUCAGGAGAAAAGCCGAAGCGCCUUAUCUAUCUUGCUUCCACCCGUCCCUCUGGGAUCCCAGACCGGUUCAGUGGCAGUGGGUCUGGGACCGAUUUCACUCUCACAAUCAGCAGGGUUGAAGCGGAUGAUGCUGGAGAUUAUUACUGUCAGCAGUAUCGCAGCUACCCUUCACACAGUGAUACAGACCAGCACAAAAACCUGCCU
Molecule: non-coding RNA, 393 nt
Organism: Chrysemys picta bellii (western painted turtle)
Lineage: Eukaryota; Metazoa; Chordata; Testudines; Emydidae
Source: the annotation of a RefSeq genome assembly